UACGUAGGGGGCGAGCGUUGUCCGGAUUCAUUGGGCGUAAAGCGCGCGUAGGCGGCUCCGCAAGUCGGCCGUGAAAUCUCCGGGCUCAACUCGGAGGGGUCGGGCGAGACUGCGAGGCUCGAGGUGGGCAGAGGGCAGUGGAAUUCCGGGUGUAGUGGUGGAAUGCGUAGAUAUCUGGAGGAACACCGGUGGCGAAGGCGGCAUCCUGGACCGGCAUUGACGCUGAGGAGCGAAAGCCAGGGGAGCAAACGGG
Molecule: ribosomal RNA, 253 nt
Filed under: uncultured bacterium
Lineage: Bacteria
Description: partial 16S ribosomal RNA
Rfam family: Bacterial small subunit ribosomal RNA
Source: RNAcentral